CCGGAACUUCCGCCGCUGCGGCCGCCGCCGUAGCCGUAGCCGCCGCCGCCGGAACUGCAGAGUGAGGGUCACGUUCGGUUAACGCUAACGUUGGAAAACGAUUUUAUUGAGCCUCUGCAGAAUUCCCUGGGUAUACAAAGGUGACUAAGACAAUUCUGGCCAUCAAGGAGUUUACAGUCUACUUGGAGAGGCAAACAAACAAACCCACGAAUCAGAGGUCUCAGCCUUUCUGUGGUUUGUUCUGCCAAGACCUCAUGUUACCCUCCCGUUGGGUUCAGCUGGGUAUUCAGGUCAACUCCUGGACCAUCUUGAUUUCUACGUUGACUUCAACAUGAGGUUGAAGACAAUAGAACUGGAAUUCAGAUGGUGAUUUCUUCUGUAGCUACUGCAUCACCUGAAACGCACAGAUUGAGAGCCAUGCAGGUUACCAGGAGCUCCUGGGCGUCCUACCUGCUCAUGACGCUUCUUCAUAAGGAUGAGCUCUUUCCUCAUCCCCUCCACUUCCUGUUCCAAGUCUGUUGUGACGAUGGUCAGGUCAUCCAGGGUCUUCCGGAGACCCUCAACUUCAGUUUCCAAGUCUUUCUUGAAGGAGUGUUCAUUUUCAUACCUUUGAGUAGAAGGGAGAGAAGAGUACACCUGCUGUUGGAAGGCCAUGGCCUUGUAAGGAGUCACCUUAGGUUAGAGGUGAAUCUCUUACUUUUUACAUUUAAUAGGAGCAAAUGAAUACAGGCUGUGCACCCUUUGUAUGUCUGUUUCAUGCAGGUUUUUCUAUGAUGGUGACUCAAUUUUUUUUUUUUAAUUAGAGAGAAUGAAAUAAUAAACAGCCAUAUACCCAUCACUUAGAAUUAGCAACCAUUAACCAUUAUGCCAUAUUUGCUUCAUCUAUAUUUUGUAUUUUACAGUAUAUUAUAGACAUUAUGACAUUUUACCCCUAAGUACUUCCAAAUGUAUUUUUUAAGAAAAAGACAGUUUUCUAAAUAAGCAUGAUAACAUUAUCACACGUAAAAAAAUCAAUAAUAACUCUUUAAUAUCAUCUAAUUCUUGGUGCAUAUUCAAAUUUCCCCAUGCCAAAAAGUGUAUUUUGCAUCUGGUUUGUUUAUACAAGGUCCAGUCAGGUAUUAGUUCCUGUUAUGCCUUUUAAUUAUAUUUUGGUAUGAUUUUACACGUUGGUAAUGGAGAGAUAAGUUUUCCUUCUAUAAAACAGAAACAAAAGCAGCAGUAACCCCCAAAACAAAAUAGAACAAAACACCAAACAACCCCCCCCCCCCGCCUUCCCCAACACUGUGAAGCAGGAACCCACUUAAGGCUGAAGUCAUCCACCGCCAUCCUGGCGUUGUCAAUGAGCAGGAUGAUCUGAGCGUUCAUCAUCUUGCCAUCUGCUAUCUGUAAAACAGGCACCAGGAGUCAUUUCAGUUGUACAAACCGCACAGGAGCGCUGUAUUGCUGCCCAGCUCCUGGGAAGCUGCCUUGUCAGCCUAGAUGACGUCUUCUUCUAGCAAUGGAAUAACGAGUAAUAAAAUCCGUAAGUAUUUAUUGAGCAUUUACUAGGUGCAAAGUGCAGGAAUGAUUUUACAGUAAGGAUGUGGUCUGCAGUCAGUUUCACUGCCUUUUUUUUCUAUGUUGACUUGACCGGUGAGGAUGGAUGCAGCUGCUCCAAGAGUGAUAUAAGGAGCAAGAGAGUGAUUAUUGAAACUGCCUUUAAAUUUUCUAGUACAACGCACGCAUGUAUUAAGCUCAUCCACAUCUGAAGAUGUUAAGUUUAUGUUCUGACUUCCUAUUGUGAAUAGUAAUUUGGCUCUCCUAAAGUGCAGUAGUUUUUAGAUGAACAUAAUUCUUCCUUGUGGUAGCGUUCAUGUUUCUGAUCAGUGACACUGGGCAAAGUAUCACUGAUACAGAGCUUCAUUAAUGUUAGUUUGUCAAACUAAUUUUAAAUGUACUUUAUAGUGCAUUUAAACUAAUUUUAAAUGUAUUUCCUAAUAGUCAUCACAUACCAUAAUUUUUUUUUGUUGCCCCAAAUGACCAUAGCCACACAUACAACGUGUGGGUGGGUGUGUAUGUAUUUGUAACUUAUUCCAUGAUGAGAAUGCCCCAAUUGGAGCUUUUAAAAUAUUAACUGAAAUAAUUCUUUACCAUCAAAUGAAGUAGCUUAAUAAACUUUAACUCUAUUAAAGCUUUAACUGUCUCUGGUUAAAGACUUUCACUAGAUGUUUAUAUAAUUUUUUACUUUAAAAAGAGAAUUUUUGUUGGAAGUGUCUACAGGAGCGAUUGGGUAUAUAAAUAUAUGAUUUGUAAAUACUUCCGGGUAGUUAUAAUCAGAGAAAUACACAUAUGAGAGAAAUAAGAUAUGAAAUGCACAUUCAAUGUAUGUCACUGCCUUGGGGAAAAUUGGGUGCAAGAUAAUCUCAGUGUCAAAAGUGUAAUACUACUUUUGUACCAAGUAUCGUGCUGAACUAGGAACAGCGAGAUUUUCCUUUUACUUCCUGUUAACUGACCAUUGGCCUGAACUCAGGUCAGUCAUUCCACUCCCUGGACUUCAGUUUCAUCAUCUGUUAAAAAAGGAGUUUGUCCUAGAAACAGAUGACCUUAGAGGUACUAGCUCCAAACUUCUGUAGCUUAGUUGGAGCUAGAGAAUCCUGUGACAUUCCCAUUAUAUUUAGGCAGUUAAUUCAUAUAUUUAGAAAGGAUUUUUUUUUUUAGGACAGAAUUAUACCGCAAUACAAAGGCACCUUUUAAAAAUCUGGUCCUGUUCAAAGCUCCACUGAUUACUCGGAAUUUAGUGUCACAAGUACACAAUAACAGUAUUCAGAGGUGGUAAGGAGCUGGUCUGGAACUCACAGAGCAGGGCCUGGCGUCCUGUUCCAGUGCCCACCCGCUGAGUGAGCUUGGCUAUGUCUCAGUUUCUUCAUCCACAAAAUGGCAAUAGGAACAAUAGCCACUUCACCGAAGAGUUAUGAGAAUUAGAGUAGAAGAGAUUAAAUAAAAUAAUGUAAAAAUACUUAGCCUUUGUGGGCACACUGUAGGCACUCUGAAAAAUCAGUCAAAACUAACUUAGUUCAGGAAAACAUAAAGUGUUUAAUUUUCUUUUUUAAAAGCUAGCACUUUUGUUAUUAGAGCCAGUGUCUGCAUUGGAUACACCCUGAGAUGCAUCCUCACACGUCUGCUGUUCGUGGUGGGAGACAGCCAGGCUUGCUGCCCCUGCCGAACUUCUUCCUUGUCUUGGUGGAUUCCAAAUAGUACUGUGACUACUUUCUUUGCUCUAAAAAAGGAUUCUGCAGGUAUUUCCUUGUCUUCCCUCUACAGUGCUGCUUUGGGAUUUCUUACCUUUCCAUCCAGGCUCUUUAUUCGUUCAUUACCUGAGCUCAUGGGGAAUGAAAAGUAGCCUCAUCCAAAAUGGCCACGGGACCCCUGCAGUUAGUCUCAGUUGUGCAUGGAGGUUUUGCUUGACAUUCAGAGAAACCAUACACUGUAUGUUCCGUGGAAUCAGGAAAAAUUAAAUAAUCCCAUCUGUGUUGGAAACACUGUUUCCACUAACAGGGGCCAAGUAAGCACUUGAUAUACAAUAUGUUUCUAGUUGGAAGACCAUGGAAUGAGCAUUAAGAACAUCAUUUUCUAUGUACUGAUACAGGAAAAUCUCCAAGGUAUAUUAAGUUGGAGGAAAAGGUGAGUUUAGUUCAUAGAAGUAUACUGAUGUCACUUCCUUUGUUGUUGCAAAUGUGUCAUGGUGAUGGAAGGUUUUACGGAUGAGGGGAGCUGGGUGAGAGGCUUAUGGAAAGUUUCUGUACCAUGUAAAUCUAACAUUACUCCACAUGAAAAGCUUAUUUGAAAUAAUGAUAAAGAUGCAGAGCAGCGUGUAUAGUUAAAAAAAAAAUUAUCGUCUUACUUACUUACUUGGCUUUUCUGAGGUAAAUUGGUAAUUUAUGCACUGCAGAGUCCACAGUGAGGGGUCUGAUUCCCCCAGGUAGCCUUCUCACAGUACAUGAGUUGAUAUGGCUCAUAUUUAAAAACCGAAACUAUUUCCCACUCUUUGGGUUACCUGAUACAAUAUUAUGCUACAAACACUACUUCUGAGACAUCCUUCAUGGUAAUGAAUGAGUAAGGAUGGAUUGAGAAAUAAUGUAUAAGGCAUAGGUCUUGCAUUGUGUAUUAUAAUUAAUCACCUGGAUUCUCCCCAAGGCCCUGAGUUCAUUCUUUUAAAAGAAAUCUAUUUGGUGCAUUAGUGCUGCAUCAUUGCUCCAGGGUGUGUAAUCUCCUACUGGGGGGAGGGAAAUAGAAUUUUUGACCAUAAACCAAAUGUGCCAAAUACAGUACUAUUGAGAGCCAUUCUAAUAUCCUGAUAUUUAUAUGACAAUAUCCAACUCUGUUUCAAAAGGAAUGGAUUAAUUUUUGAACUCAAUUUCUUAUACACUUUUGGAGUAACAUUUAAUAUCCCUAAAGUGGGGGCAGGAGAGUGCUGUGUCUACUCAGAACAUUUCAUGAGUCAUGAAAGGCCCAGGAAGGGAUCAGCCCUGGGCAUUGUGGGACCUCUGUGGGCCCCUGUUUUCUCACCUGCAAACGGGGGAGGCUGGUUACACAGACAGCCUGAACUUCAGAGAGUUGUUUUCUUCAAACACAGACAAACAACCAGGUAAGAAAUCCAGGAAAGAGUGGAAUUCCGAGCUGAAGAAUCUCCCUAUGUAGUGUCAGAAUGCAGAAUCGGGGGCUGCCUUGAGAGUGGGCCAGCCACCCCUCCUCGUCAUUGUCCCCACUCACUAUUCUCAAUUCUGUUCCAAAGAGUUUGGGCAACCACUUGGUCUCAGCCUCUGCAUCUAUAAAUUGUGGAUAAAACAAUGCUUCACAGAAUGAGAUAAUGGGUAUGAAAUAUGUGUUGUAUGAUUAACAGUGCAAACGUAAUGCAUUAUCUUUAUUAAUUAACAGCAUCAUUUUUGCAGGAGGGAGACUGGCUAACACACUAUAUGAAAAUUAUAGGGCCAUUGGAAACAGGCCUGGGUUAUAACCCCAGCUCAGCCUCUUACUGGUGGCUUUGGAUGGCUUCUUCACUUCUCUGAGUUUCAAUUUCUUUCUAGAGUUGUUGUGAGAGUUAAAUCAGUUGAUAUAGAACAUUUCCAUCAGAAAUGUUCGCGGACAGUGCUGAUAAGUGGAUUAAAUACCCGUCACGAUGCCUGGCAUACAAUAAGUACUCAAUAAAUAUUUCCCUUCCUUUCCCUUCUUCACCCUACUGUCAGCUAAUAAAUUAUGUGAAUAGGUCUAACCUGACGUUUCUUUAGGGAGUUACGUUCUCAGCUGCCCAUUUGCAAAAAUCUUCUAGUCUCUCCAUUCUAAAACCAAAACGACUUUAUUAAUAAAAACAGCGUGGUGAGGUUUGUUGAAUCACUUUUUUUUUUGGUAAAGACAAACAUGUACUAUAUAGUUAAGGUAAUUACACAGUCAGUUAUUAGGUUGAUUAUUCAAUAAUUAGGGUUCAUUAUAAGGACAGAUUUCUAUUAUCUUGAUUGGUCCUUCCUAUAUUCAAGCCUGGACAACUGAAUGCUGAGAAAUAAUACCAUAUAAAUACUGGAAACCUGUGAUGCCCUUUCUAGGAUACGUUAAGUAAGAUCUUACAGGAAAUUUUCUGAGACCACUUUACAUAAGAGGGAAUUUAUGUAGCUUUAAAAUAUAACCUAAAAGGUGACUGGAUUCCCUCUGCUUCUAACCAGUGUUUUGAAGGUGUAGUUUUUUUUUUUUGAAUGUAUGUCCCAGAAAGAUUAGCUUUUUUAAUGUUGAAAAGUUGUUUAUUUUUUUGAAGAAUUCUCCCUAAUCCAGCCUAACUCUAAGAUUCCAAAAAUUAUCCUCAUUUUAUAAUGUAUUUUCCUAGCAACACGCCAUCUUCAGAACUGGGAGCAGCUAGAAUUCAGAACUUCUAGCAGCUCCCAAGAGGCAAUAUCCAGGGAUAUCACAAUGAUGUAUCUGCUAGUGGAGUGACAGCUUUUAGGUGUGAUCUCCAAAAUAGUACAAUUCAGCCUUUCUUUGAUGGCUGAUCACUCUGUCGCCAGGACUUUGAGGUGGAGAGGAACUGAUGUCAUGAGAAAGUAAAUGCUCCCUUGUGCCUUGUGCACUAAGCAUGAGGCAUAAAAAUGCAGCCUGAUCAUUACAAUCGUGUCGUUGGAUUGUAAGUGAUUCCGACAGCAGCUGGUUGCCUUACGUUGUUUAGACUUUCUAUAUAAUUUAUGUAUAAAGAUUAUUAUACCAAACAUUAUUGAUAUUAUUAUACCAAGUCCAAAUUUAAGGUAUGAUAUGAAAAUGUCUUUGAAUACCUUUGUUCAUGAUGACUUGAAGCUCUUUUGCCAUUUUCCUGGAAAUUGUCUUUGUACUGAUUUCUCCUCCCACAAACCCCUAGAAACGCAGCCCCCUCUGAAGUUCCAGGAUCAGCCGGGAUCUUACCUGCUCCUGCAGGUGGCUGAUGUUUUCCUCAUAUUGGGAGUAAUCUUGCUUACUGCCCGGAUCUCUCUGCUGAUGCCACUUGAAGAUGCAACUUUCGAGUUUCGUGUUGGCCUCCUCCAGGGCGCGUACCUUGUCCAGAAGAAUGCUUUGGAGAAAUGUACAAAGAUAUUAGAGGAGCGGCACAGCAUUAAUUAGUUUUCUGCCCUGAGAAAGAAGACAUUGUAAUAAAAUUCACUCUGUCUCUGAGCUAUACACCCGCUGUCUGCCCCUGGUAAGUUUUGAAUGAUUCAUGCCUCAAGUUCCUCCUUCUUAAGAUGAGCAGUACAGAAAAUUCACGUAGAGAACACAGAACACUCUGGUACAUUGGAAGCACUCAAUAAAUGUUAAUUGUUGUUAUUGUUGCUAUAAAAAGAUGACUCCAGAAGGUUAUGGAGCAUAUUUACGUGUUCAAACUAUAAGUUAAGGUAUAAGUCUAAAUAUAUACUAUCUUUACAUCAGUUAUGUGCCUUGAGGCUUGAAGUACAGCACGGAAAUUUGAUUUCAUGUUGAAACGUGAUUUAAACACUCAUGACUUUGUGUAUGUCUAUCUGCAGUUUUGAUCUUGGUGUUUUAUGAAGAAAAUACAUGACCCCCCCAAUUUUCCUUUGUUUUAAUUGUAGGCAGAUAUGGUAGGCAGAAUAAUCCCCCUCCCCAAGAUAUCUAUCUCCUCAUACCUAGAACCUGUGCAUACGUAUGUUACAUGGCAAAGGGGAAUUAAAGAUGCAGACAGAAUUAAGGUUGCUAGUAAGCUGGCCUUGCUUGGGAGGUUUUCUUGAAUUAUUCAGGUGGGUCUGAUGUAAUCACACGUGUCUUUUUAAAGUGGAAGAGGGAGAAGGAAGAGUCAGUCAGUGUCAGGGAGGAGAUAUGGUGAAGGCAGGGCUUAGAGUGAUGAGGCUGCUGACUUUGAAGAUGGAAGGGGGACACAAGCCAAGGAAUGUGGGAAGCUCCAAAAGGCAGGGAAACGGAUUCUCUUUGAGGGUCUCUAGGAAGGAACACGGUCCUGCUGAAAUCUUGGUUUUAGCCUGGUGAGACUCCAGACCACACACUUACAGUCAAUUACUCUAUAACAAAGGAGGCAAGAAUAUGUCAUGGGGAAAAAUUCUCUUGUUUUGAGCCACUAAGUUUGUGCUAAUAUUUUGCAUUGCCAAUAAAAAAAUUAAUAUGUGUGUGUGUGUGUGUGCACCUGUAACAUACAAAUAGGAACUCUAGCAGUUGAUUUUUUGGCUGAAGAUUAAAUUAAGGUGGAUAGAAUAUUUUUCCAUGUCACUUACAAAACAUAUAUUUUCAACACACAUAUGUAGCCUGGUUUUUAAAAUUAUUAUCAUAACAGCAAAGAUGGUUGCAGUGACUCUUUCAUAAACCCUACAUUAUCCAAAUUAUAGGCAUAUUUUUGAUUUGCAAAUUAAUUUAUGCAAUAUAUCUCAGAAAAUUUGAAUUUAAAUCACAUUCACUUGAACAUUUCACAAGUGAUUCUGUUGGAAAGUAUAAAAUUACGAAAAAAACCCAAGGCUUUUCUUGAAGAUCCAGGGCAUACAUGGGUACCAUGAUUAGGGUGGAUGUGAAUAUUGGUCUUUUAUUUACUCCUGAGCCCAUCUUCCUCCUGAUCUCACCCUCCGUCCACUUUUUGUCUCCUCCGUGGACCUUUCUCUCAGGUAGACCUGAACCAUGAGUUUCUCUGUCACUAACUGCUGUUUACUGCAUAGGCUUUAUAUCAUUAAAAUGAAGAGAUGGUGCCAUAACUGGGACACUGGGCAUCACACCCGCCGUCUACUCCCAUUGAACAUUCUCUUCUACUUGCUGAGCUUCAGAUGACAUCCUGGCUUACCUUACUCUGUGGCCACAAGAGCAAACCUAUUUUCCUCCUUCUUCUUAUUUUGUCUGUUUCUCCUAGUGUCUUCCCUGAAUUCACGAAUGUAGCAUCUUCUACUUUUACUAUCUAAAUCUAGUACAUUUGAUUCCACUUCUGAUUACUAGCCCCCCAAAUUUGUAGCCUUUAUUAAAAGUGAUUCAAGAGGUGGACUUCUAAUAUCCCCUCUUAUCACCCCCUUUUCCUGUUAAUCUCAGGAUGGAUCCAAACCAGAAAGCUCCCCGCAGCGCCAGCCACCCAUGAUUGCUGAUGAAGCCACAUGUCAUCUGCUGGAAACAUGAGUAUCUGGCAGCCAUUGUAUUGACCCUGUGUUACUAUGAAUAUGAACAGGAUUAGAAAUGAAAUUGAUACUUUCCUGAUGUUUCUCCAGUCAGGACCUCUUGGUUUUAUGUCUGGCGGGGUUGAACGAUUCCGUGCCGGUCUUCAAACGGUAAAUUUCCCAGCAACCUAGUUGCUGCGUUUAGGAUGAGAUGAGAUGGAGAGGCUGUCCGGUUGGGCUGUCUGAUCUCCGAGGCGGAGCUUUACAGGUUGAUACUGCUCUGAGCAGUCACAGUGGUCCACUUCUGUUCUCAGGCUGGUAGGUUCAGAGGCACCAUAACUAUGAGAAGCGAAGGGAUUCUCAGGAGCUGACUGACAGUAACCUAAACAAAGUGGCAGAUGAAUGAGCUGGAAUGCAAAUUUAUUCAUUUACCACUGAGAAAUGAUCCACUCUGCAGCACCUUCUUUGCUGUAUCUGAGUAUCGACGAAAUUGUGAUGUGGAGGUUGUUCAGCAAAACGGACCCAGAAGAGAGAUGUGGCGUCAAUAAUGAAGCCUCGGGAACUGCUCUGACUUUCCAUGUGCUAAUGUGAUUGGGUUCAGCGCUGUUCUUACCAAGAUUAGGCUGGAUGUAAGCACCAUCAAGUUGCUUUUAGGGCUCGCCUUCCUCAGAACUCCAUGACAGGCACAUUAUUUCUCUAACUAUUUGUGCCUUUGCUUGGACUAGAGAUACUGUAUUGUCAAACUUGAUGGUAUCAGGCAUUUGGAGUAUAGAAGACUUGAAUUUGUUCAAAUUUUAACUUGACUGUUCACUAACUGUACUAUGCUGAGCGAGUUCACUUCUGUAGACCUUGGUUCACUUAUUAGUAAAAUGGGACUAAUACUGUUACAGGCCUGUUUUGAGGACUGAGUGAGAUAAUUCGAGUAAAGCACUUAGCACAGUGUCUGAGGCAUAAUAUUCAAUAGAUCUUUAAUUGACUACAAGAAGCAUUAUUCUUUCUACUUACUGGCCAUGUGGGGGGCAUUGUGGCUUCGGCACAUAUCGAACCAUUUUGAUUAUGUGUUGGGUGUACUAUGUCAACUCUGAGAGCUUUGCAAGAGCCUCCCUGCUGCUUUCUCUGCUGAGCCCAUAACUUGACUACAUGGAUUUGGAUAGAUUGAGCCCCGAGAGGAACCUCUCUCUAGGUCUUCUGGGUCAAUACAGUUAAGUUGCUUCUCCAAGGGCCACACAUAUCAAGUAGGUACAUACAGUCCUCCCCAGGGUGACUCUCAAGCACCUGCUAGGCCCCCUGGGCCACCAUAAGGAGCUGUAAUAUCUGAGAUUUUUGCCCCUGGUUUAGAAGAAAGGCCUUCUUAAUUUUGUGUGUGUGUGUGUGUGUGUGUAUGUGGUUCUUUAGAGAAAGAUACAGACAAAGGGGCCCCAAACUUGGUCUGUUUCUAGGAAAUAAGAAGAGAACCUUUAGCCUCAGAUGUUUUCUCCUGGUACCAGUAGUAUGCACAACCUGAUUGUUACAUUGUUCUAGACAGAGAGGGAGUGGUGGUGGUGAGGAAGGAGGAGAAGAUGAAGGAGGGGGAGGAAGAGGAAGAGGAAGAGGAGGAGAAGAGGGAAAGAGUGGGAGGACCAAGAAAACAUGUUCAGAAACUUUGCUUCUUGUGACACCACCUUAAUUAGGAUAUUUAGAAACACUGGCAAAUUAAAUGUUUUCUUAUGUGCAUGUAACUGAUGGCCUGUGUCUUAAAAGCAUCACCUGAGAAAACCCUCCAAAUGUGAUGCUCAACCUGAAAUGAUAAUUCAAUUAAAUAGACCUUUUCAAUGUUGCCAAAUAGGGUGGUUCCCAUUUGAACUGAGUGCGUGGGUUGUUCCCAUGAAGCUUGUGAAUCAUGCAUGAACACACUGGCCAGGUAUUUCUAGCCAGACAAAUAGCCAAAGGAUUCAUUUCCUAUAAAAGACAUUUGAUUACAGUGUCGAAACAAUGCUCUCAGGCUUGCUUGCACUGAUCCUAACCCACGGCACUGUCUUAUGGAUGCUGGUUACUUCGACCUACAAAGUCUUCCUAGCAAGGAUGGCCCUCCUCCCUUCUCAUCCGGACACUUCCCUUUUCUCCUGAAUCUUAAAUUUCUUUCUCCCUCCCCCUCAUUUGGAAAGGGCAUUUGCUAUUAAAAUGAUUUUUUUUAUUGUCAAAACUUUUAAUAUUAAAUCAAAAUGAACAGAACAGAAUUAGGGUAAACCUCCUAGGUCAACGAGUAAGAUACUUUUCCCUGCUGUUUGAUAAAUGGAAAUUACAGGAAUUAAUAACAAUGUACAGUUAUUAGCUUAUAAAGAACUUAAAGGUCUUAUUGAUGGCAUCUAAUUACUUUUAAAAGACACCAGAGAGAAGUUAGAGAAUGUCAUUUUGGGUGUCAUUUCCUAUUUACAGAUGCAGAAGACUAGAUACAAUAAGGUGAGUAAUAUCAGGGACUGUAAGGGAAACUAAAGAUGUUAGAUCAAAAAGAUCCCUGGUGAGUACCCAGAGUCCAAGCACAGAGAAGUCAAAUGAUGCUCCUAAGAACUAGACCUGAAGGUUGCUGACUUGUGGUCCAGGGUUGUUUCCAUCUGACCCAACUCCACUGCUGUCUACUAUAGAUGUGAUGAGGAGUGAGAAGUAGAAGAAAGAGCACUGGAUUCUCUCACUGACUGGGCAGUGAUGGACCAGUCACCUUUCUCUCUGAGUUGCAGUUUUUCUAUCUCUGAUAUGAAAAAGGCUAUUAGAUGCUACCAUAAUACCUUUCUGAUUUUCAAAGAGAUAUUCACACUCUCAUGUUCAUUGUGGCACUGUUCUCAAUGGCCAAGAGAAACAACCACCUCUGUUCAUUGAUGGAUGAAUGGAUAAAAAAGAAACACACACACACACAGACACACACACACGCACAAUGGAAUAUUAUUCAACAUUAAAAAAGA
Vicugna pacos (alpaca) is the source of this 11518-nucleotide non-coding RNA. NCBI's taxonomy places the organism in Eukaryota, Metazoa, Chordata, Mammalia, Artiodactyla, Camelidae. The record is from RefSeq and is a predicted model, not a curated record.